AUGCCUGGGGGCGCUGGGGACAGCUGGUGGUGGCCUGGGGCACUUGGGGGAGUGGGAUUGGAUGUCAUGGCCCUGCUGCGCAGGGCUGGGGGCUCUCCCUGCCACCCCGGGACUGGGAAGGGUCUAUGCAGUGACCGGCCAGACCGUCCCUUUGGGGUGAGCGACUGGAGCCCUGUGUGCAUCGCUCUGUGGGGCCCCCCAGCCACGGCCCCCGGCUCUGAGCACCCCAAUAAAGCGGUCUGGAGACCCGAGUGCUCGUGUCUGUCCUUACUCACAGCCUUCUGCCCCCUCCUAACAUGGAGUUGUGCGAGUUUGCUCUGUGUUUUGGGGUUACCCCAAACCGCAAAAGGGUGCAGGAGCUCUCGGCUUGGCCACGGCUGUGGGAGAUGCCCGGGCACUUUGCUCCAUCGUGUGGGAGAAGCCAGCACUGCCGGGACACCGGGCACAGUGGGGACACAGCUGCCAAAAAUCCCCGAGGUUUUGGCUCAGGACCGUGCCCUGCCUGCGAUGCUGGGGCUGGUGAGAGCUGGGGCAGGCAGGGCCCCCCCAGGUGCCCCCAGCUCUCCCCAUCUGCCAGCAGCUCGGAUUUCUUCCAAACCUGCCUUUCCCCCACUGCUGCAAAGGGCUUUAGCCCAGCCUGGGGGAGACAGGGGGCUCAGUCCCAGCCUGGGCUACCGGGAGGAGCGGGGGGGAGCAAGGACCAGUCCCCCAGAACCUGGCAGAGAUGGGUUGGUGUUGCCUCAGGUGUGGGCACACCAGCAAGACACCCCUUCCUUCCCUGCCGCGUGCCUCUCAGGAGGAAAGUGGAGAGACCAAGCAGCGCCCCCCAAAUGGAAACCCCCCCAAACCUCCCUGCAGGGCCCUGCCCAAGUGUGGGGACCGCAUCCACACACCUUGUGCCUGCGAGGUCCCAGACGUCCUCCUGGGUGGAGCACGGAUGUCCACGGGUCACUCCAGGCCAUCGCAGGUCCCCACGAACCCCAGGAAGGCAGCCAGCUCUCCCCGCUGCUCAGUGAGCGCAGACAAAGCAUCCUGCAAGGAGACCGCCAGAAACAGGGGGUGCGGGAUUCGGGGAGCAGAGGGAGAUGGGGAGCGAGCUGCAAACGCCGCGCACCAGCCCCGUGCUCUGGGCACCACCCUGCAUCCCGCCGCUGCCUCCCCAUCCCCAACGACCCCUCCGGUUUGGCACCGAGGGGACGAACCCCGAACCACAGCCGGGGGGUUUCACCCCUUGGCCGGGCUCUGCUCUGCCCCAGCCCCGCUCUGCCGUCCCCCGGCCGGCGCCACGUGGCUGCACCCUCGCUCGCCUUUGUUCCCCCACCGCGGCCGGGCGAUGCCGGGAGCCCUGCGGUGCCCGCGGUGCUGCGGUGCCGACCUCCCCGCAGCCGGGGGGAGCCCCGGCCUCCGCCGCCCCGGCCUUGA
This 1422-nucleotide long non-coding RNA is filed under the name Anser brachyrhynchus (Pink-footed goose). RNAcentral describes it as "lncRNA (ENSABRG00000018958.1)". The record is from RNAcentral. Lineage: Eukaryota; Metazoa; Chordata; Aves; Anseriformes; Anatidae.